Equus asinus (donkey) is the source of this 1755-nucleotide long non-coding RNA. NCBI's taxonomy places the organism in Eukaryota, Metazoa, Chordata, Mammalia, Perissodactyla, Equidae. The record is from Ensembl.
GUUUACUAAAAUUCAAAUAAGCUCUUGUCAUCUCUGUUACAGAAAUUGUCAGCAAGAAAGAUACCUUAAGAUGAUGUGAGAUUCCUGGAAACAACCCUCCCAAUCACUCUUGAUCAUGGACACUGCCGCCAAACCACAAGGUGUCAAAACUUGAGUGCAUAUUUCACAACUGAAGAAGGUUCCACCUGACAUCUGACUUUGUGCAAAUGCUGGAGACCUCAAAAUCAAAUAAACUAGGAAGACAAGUAGCUGACAUCGAAGUAGAGUCUUCCUCCCAAGACGUUGGAUCAAGAAUAUUUCUUUCCAUUCCUCCUUCCCUCUCUGACCAUCCAUUUCCUAAUUCUUACACCAUUAAGGUUUUUAUGGUUCUUUUGUUCACCUUUUAUCUUGCUCUUGCCUAGACAGAUAAUUUCAUUGUUCAUAUAUCUCAGGCCAUUGCAAGGGGGAGUAAUCUAACCUCCAAACAACUGUUGGAUUUGCCAUGAUGCUCAUAUGAUGCUCAUGAUCCUAUAGUUCUGCUUUCCACAAACUUCUCCCUGAUUUCCAAUGCCUCAGUUUCUCUGGAACAAACUCAGCCCUCUCUCUAUUGUGUCAGGCUCCCUAACCCUGGAAGUCCAUUUCCUUGUCUCUGAUUAACAACCCCAAACCUGGAGAACCUUGCAUCCAGAUUCUAUACAAAGAAAGGGACACAAGGCAAGGAUAACCAGAAUCAAACCACCUGUGCAGUCUACAGACCCUUGAAUUUUAGUGGCUUCCAUGGCUGUCACCUUUGCAGUCCUGCACCAUAGACUCAAACAGGAAUUACCUGGAAGCAUUCAUACUUCAAUAUUAGCUUCCUUUGGCAGACCCCUACUAUUCCCACUAGGAGUAAGUGCAAAUGAGGCUAUGAUCAGGAACUUCUCCUUACCUCUUUAAAAUAUUGUAGAAUCUACUGCUAAAGCAAUAGCUGCCCAAGAAAAUCACUAGACUCUCUGGCCAAAGUUGUUCUUGAUAGUAGGACAGCCCUUGAUUAUCUUUUAGCUGAGAAAGGUGCUCUAUGGCCAACACCACUUGCUGCACUUGGAUUGACAUUUCUGGGGAAGUUGAGACUCAGCUACACAAGAUCACUGAGCAAGCCUGUUGGCUUAAGAAAGUGACUCCUUCACUGGGGUCUUUCUUUGACUUAUUUGAUUCUGAUCGGUUUGGGUCUUGGGGACCAUGGCUCCGAAGUGCACUCCAGACAUUUGGGAAUUAUGCUGCUUAUAAUAAUCAUGGUAGUCUCCCUGGUGCGCUGUGUUCUUUCAAAAGCUAUAAAUGCAUGUUCGCAGCCACUAACCACCAAGCAAAUGAUCUCCCUAAGAUUAGAGCAUCAGAAAAGGAACAAAGAAAAUGAAGGACUUAAAGAAUAUGAACCCAAUGCUGUGACCUGUGAAUACCACACAGAGAUUCAGCAAAAAACUGCAAGAACUCCAGAGUGGUAGCUGGGAAUAGUGCUCAUGCCUUAAAUUUUGAUCAUAUCUCUCAGUUAGGCUGAGAGUCUGAUCCAAAGAGAGGAAUGGUUUAAAACAAGACAACAGGCCCAAAAUGGAGUCACUUACACUAAGCCCUGUGUCACCAAACCAAGACUUAAUUAUAGUUUCAGCUCUUCCAGAAAUGGAAUUGUAAACGAGCCAGUCAGGAAAUGCCUGAUCAGCACUAGUUAGGUUGUCUGCCUGAGAGAUCCCAGCCACCCCUAAGGGAAAGUAGCAUGCAAUAACCAACCCGCUUUUUUCGCCU